Molecule: ribosomal RNA, 373 nt
Filed under: uncultured bacterium
Lineage: Bacteria
Description: bacterial SSU rRNA
Rfam family: Bacterial small subunit ribosomal RNA
Source: RNAcentral
AACGAACGCUGGCGGCAUGCCUAACACAUGCAAGUCGAACGAAGCCUUCGGGCUUAGUGGCGCACGGGUGCGUAACGCGUGGGAAUCUGCCCUUAGGUACGGAAUAACUCAGGGAAACUUGAGCUAAUACCGUAUAAUGACUCCGGUCCAAAGAUUUAUCGCCUGAGGAUGAGCCCGCGUAGGAUUAGCUAGUUGGUGAGGUAAAAGCUCACCAAGGCGACGAUCCUUAGCGGUCUGAGAGGAAGAUCAGCCACACUGGGACUGAGACACGGCCCAGACUCCUACGGGAGGCAGCAGUUGGGAAUCUUGGACAAUGGGGAAACCCGUGAUCCAGCCAUGCCGCGUGAGUGAUGAAGGCCUUCGGUUGUUAAAC